GUGCCACAGUCCAUGGGGUUGCAAAGAGUUGGACACGACUGAACGACUGAACUGAACUGAUGCCUAACUUAGAAGGCUGGAGGUAUUUCUGCAAGCCCACAGCUGGAGAUGGAGCGCAGUGCUCAGCCCGGUCUACUCCGGAACUUGCUCCGAGCGGCGGAACGGGCGCACUUCCUUCUAUGGACACAAGAUGGCAACAUAGACCAGGCUUCAGAACAGGUGGCGACCUUGGAAUCAAUCCAGAAAGGCAACUUGGUCUCCCAGACUGCCCAGGAAGUCUUCCUUCAGGCCAGCCAGCUUUUCUAGAAGGUUCUCCAGGGAGUCAGUCCCAGGGCUCUGCCUCUGGAGUCUCUGCGCUUCCCUCACUUGCCUCUAGAUGGAAGAUUUCCUCACCUGGUGCCCAACAGGCUCCCCCUGCGGCCACAUCCAGCAAACCUGUGGAUGCUAGAAUUCUCAGAACCAAAUGCAGCCCUUAUCUUCUGCCGCAAAGCGUGACAGGCUUGUGUGUGGCUGUUAUCAAGCAUCAUUUGCUAUGUCCGUUUUUGGGGACAGAGAGGAGGACACAGGGUCCCUGCCUGAGUCUAGAGGAGGAGACAGGAAAUAGAUGUGACCAUGCAG
Molecule: long non-coding RNA, 618 nt
Organism: Bos taurus (domestic cattle)
Lineage: Eukaryota; Metazoa; Chordata; Mammalia; Artiodactyla; Bovidae
Source: Ensembl